UGGGGAAUAUUGGACAAUGGGCGCAAGCCUGAUCCAGCAACGCCGCGUGGAGGACGAAGGUCUUCGGAUCGUAAACUCCUGUCAGGCGGGACGAAGGCUUCCGGGCAAAUAGUCCGGAAGCUUGACGGUACUGCCAGAGGAAGCCCCGGCUAACUCCGUGCCAGCAGCCGCGGUAAUACGGAGGGGGCUAGCGUUGUUCGGAAUUACUGGGCGUAAAGCGCGCGUAGGCGGCUUUGUAAGUUAGAGGUGAAAGCCCGGAGCUUAACUCCGGAACUGCCUUUAAGACUGCAUCGCUAGAAUUGUGGAGAGGUGAGUGGAAUUCCGAGUGUAGAGGUGAAAUUCGUAGAUAUUCGGAAGAACACCAGUGGCGAAGGCGACUCACUGGACACAUAUUGACGCUGAGGUGCGAAAGCGUGGGGAGCAAA
RNAcentral lists this ribosomal RNA (425 nucleotides) under uncultured bacterium. RNAcentral's name for it is "bacterial SSU rRNA". It matches the Rfam family "Bacterial small subunit ribosomal RNA", at positions 355 to 772 of the family's 1533-position model. The record is from RNAcentral.